This is a long non-coding RNA of Strigops habroptila (Kakapo), 1695 nucleotides long. The record is from Ensembl. NCBI's taxonomy places the organism in Eukaryota, Metazoa, Chordata, Aves, Psittaciformes, Psittacidae.
CCCCCGGGGCGGCGCUGGCCGCGGGGCUCCUCUUCUUCCCGGGGCUGUUCGUGCUGGCCCGGGCCGCGCUGCGCCGGCGCUGCCCCGAGCCGCACGCGGCCAUCCUGGCCGCCAGGCUGGUGUCCUCGGUGCAGGCGGUGAUGGCCUCCACGGCCGGGUACAUCAUCUCCUCCUCCUGCCAGCACGUCAUCGAUGACCAGCACUGGCUGGCCAAGGCCUACCCCGAGUUCGCCGUGCCCUACUUCAUCUACGACGUGUACGCCAUGUUCCUGUGCCACCGGCACCGCGCCCGCGUCAAGGGCCACGAGGCGGCUCCUCCCCCGUCGCUGCGCGCGGCCGCCGGCUCCUACCUGCGCAAGGACCUGCUCAUGGUGCUGCACCACGCGGCCAUGGUGCUCGUCUGCUUCCCCGUGGCCACCCUCUGGCGUCAGGGGAAGGGCGACUUCUUCUUGGGGUGUCUCCUGAUGGCCGAGCUCAGCACCCCCUUCGUCUGCCUCGGCAAGGUCCUCAUCCUGCUGGGGCGGCAGCACACGGCUCUGCACCGCCUCAACGGGCUGACGCUGCUGGUGACGUUCCUGCUGUGCCGGGUGCUGCUCUUCCCGUACCUGUACUGGGCCUACGGGCGGCACCGGGGGCUGCCGCUGCUGCGCGUCCCCGCGGCCCUGCCCCCCGCCACCAACCUGGCGGCCGCCGCGCUCCUCGCGCCGCAGCUCUACUGGUUCGGCCUCAUCUGCCGCGGGGCCUGGCGCCUGCUGCGCCCCGCGGCCAGACCCACGGAGAGCCCCAUAGCGGGGCCCAUGGACAGACCCACAGCCGGCAGCGGGCCUCAGCGACACCCUCCCUGAGCCCCACGGCGCCGCCUGUCCCAUGGAGAGCCCCAUAGCCCCAGGCCCCACUGCCCUCCCCACUCCCACCCUGAGCCCCAUGGACAUCCUAUCUGAGCCCCAUGGAGAGCCCUGGAACGCUGGGGUGCUCUAUGGGGCAGCCUGGGGUCCCUAUGGGGCGGUAUGGGGGGGUCCUGGAGUCUCUGUGGGGCACCCUAAGGUGUAAGAGGGUUUCUAUGAGGGACCCCAGGAUCUCUGUAGGGCACCCUGGUAUCAGUAUAGGGCACCCUGGGAUCUCUAUGGGGCACCCUGGGGUCUCUAUGGGGCUCCGUAUGGUCUCUAUGGGGCACUCUGUGGUCUCUAUUUUGCAGCUGGGGUCUCUAUGGGUCACACUGGGCUCCCUACUGGGCACCUUUGGGUCUCUAUGGCGCACCCUGGGGUCUCUAUGGGGCAGCAUGGGGUCUCUAUGGGUUCUCUAUGGGUCCCACAGCUUCACCAUGGAGAGCCCUGGGCCCCACAGACACCCCCCCUUAGCCCCACGGCGAGCCUUGGCACUCUGGGAUGCUCUAUGGGGCACUGUGGGGUCUCUAUGGGGCGCUGUGGGGUCUCUAUGGGCCACUGGGCCCUCUAUGGGGCACUGGGCUCUCUACGGGCUCUCUAUGGGGCACUGUGGGCUCUACGGGGCACCAGGCUCUCUAUGGGGCUCUGGGCUCUCUAUGGGGCACUGUGGGCUCUAUGGGGCACUAGGCUCUCUAUGGGGCUCUGGGCUCUCUAUGGGGCACUGUGGUCUCUAUGGGGCACUGGGCUCUCUAUGGGGCACUGUCCCUCCAUGUUGUGUCCCCCCCCAAACCCUAUUAAAGGGCUUUGGGAA